Molecule: non-coding RNA, 3182 nt
Organism: Sus scrofa (pig)
Lineage: Eukaryota; Metazoa; Chordata; Mammalia; Artiodactyla; Suidae
Source: RefSeq, a predicted model, not a curated record
GUGGGAGGGGCUUUUUUUCAUAACAUACUUUGGGGUGCCUUUUAAAUUUUGAAAAAAUUUAAUGUAUUUAACUAUCCCCCAAAAUCAAUCAAACAGAAAAGGGGGAGGAAUGUAGUUGCAGUCCCUGUGGGUUGGGUUGUACAGAGGUGCCUGGGGAGGGACUGGCCCUGGUGCUGGGCAGUCCCCUGAGGAAUGACGCAGGGCAGCCGCCCAGGGCGGGGUGAGUGUUGGGGCUGCUCAGCAGGCCGGGUGGCCCAUGUCACAGUCCCCGUGACGAGCCUGGGCAGAGACGCACCGGCCUUGGGCGCAUGUUCAGCCCCAGAGAGGAGGCCCUGCCGGACUCAGAGGCUUCCAGCCGAGAGCCACACAUGGGAGGGAGUCGGAGGGGGAACAAGAGCAGGAAAGGCAGUUACCAGCCAAGGAGCCCUCCCUGCCUGCAGAGCGCGGUGCUGUACAGUCACAGGCUUGGUGGCUCCCGCCAUCCCGCAAGUAGGCAAGAGGCAAGGUCCCUUCUCUGAAGUCACACAGCUGCACAUGGCUCCAAGGUCCUGUUUUCCGUCUGUGAGAAAAAGGCACCUAAAGCUGAGGCAAGGACACACCCGAGGCUGAGCCAUCUGGGCCCGAAGCGCCGGGGAACCAUGGGUGUGGACCCUCCUUAGGUGGGGUUCUCAAGGGCAAAGUAGAAAAUAGAGACUGAACCAAGUGACACCCCACCCUCCACACACCUCAGUUCACCCAGUCGAGGUCUCAAGGGGCUUUUGGAGAAGAUGGAGGAACCAGAAGGGUGAGGAACUUGCUUGUGGUCACCCAGCACGUCCGCAUAGACUUGGGACUAGAACCCACGUCCUCUCACCCCCACCGAAAUGCAGGGGCUCAUUCCAUUCCCUGGUGCUACAGCUGCCUCCACCUCUGACUUCUCCCCAGCCAGCCACCCAGAAGUCCUUUUUCUUGGCACGCCCUUGCUCAGAGUCUUCAGUGACAUCCUGCUGAAGGGUCAGGGAGGGAGGGUCAGGGUCAGGACUAAGUUCGGGGGCCUGACAGUGAGCACUCCAUGGUCCAGCCCCCUUAUGACCAUUUCGAUUUUGUUCCCCCAACACGUCUACCCCAGCCAAGCCACAUCCGCUCCACUCCCACCUCACACCAUACCUUUGCCUGUGCUGCUGCUUCUGGGAUGCCCUCCCCCUGCCCCCACUCGGCCUAGCCAGAUCCACUGAGCGCCUCUUCCAGGAAGCCUCCUGAUCCCCCACCCUACCCACGUGGCCAGAUAAGACCGUCCUGUGGCUCUUUGAUAGGAAUCAUCUUGUAUUGUUCCCAUGUCCUUAGGCUCCCAGUUAGACCCUAAGUUCCUUGAGGGUAGGGCCUUGUUAGUAGAUCUACAGUGGCUGUUUUCACAAUAAAAACUGGAAUCUGUGCUCUGACCAGGAUAUGAUUCUGCAUUGUUAUACUCAUGUGUGAACAGUCGUCAGGAGUCUCAAAGGUGGGGGUGCAACAUGCAGCGACACUCAGCAGUGUCCUAACGGCACCCUUUGCAGAUCUGAGUGUUCCGCCAUCAUUUCCCUUCCUGCGCAGCCCAGAAGCAGCUCAGAAUUUUCUCACAGUAAUGUCACAGGCAGCUGGUGCCGCCUAGAUUUGACCUGUGCGAUGAAACUUCUGUGCCGUCUGGAGUGGGUGCUCCAUGAGGGCAGGGACUUGUCUGUGGGUUCUUCUCUGCCGGGCUGAGCACCAUGCCUGGCACUUAGCAGGCUCUUGGGGAGUACUUACUGAAUGAAUGAAUGCCCUUCCUAGAAGAGUCCAUCAGUUUUAAACUUAAUGACUAGCUCUUACUUAAAAGAUGGGCUGGGCUGGGACAUCAGAUGUGUGUCCCAAACCCGUGACGUUGCACAAGUUACUAAACCUCUCGGAUCUUCAGUUUCCACAUGUGCAAACGGAGAAUUGGUACCUGCUUCACAGGCUUGUCCUGAAGAUUAAAUGAAUCAUGUGCAGUGCCUAGGACACAGCUGGAACUCAAUAAAUGUAGGUGUCCAGGAGUUCCCUCUGUGGCACAGUGGGUUAAGAACCUGACUGCAAUGGCCCAAGUUGCUGCGGAGGCGAGGGUUCAGUCCUGGCCUGGUGCAGUGAGUUAAAGGAUCCAGCAUUGCUGGGCAACUGGGGUUUGGAUUCAGCCACUGGCUUGGGAACUUUCAUGCUGAUGCACAUAAAAAUAAAUAAAAAUGAAAGUAGUUUUCCAGCUUCCUCUUGGAAUGAACCCAGCUACAAGUUACAGAAACGGAAGUCAUUUGGUUCAAGUGAGGAUGGAGAUGCCCUUCCCAGAAGAAGGGAGAAUGGCUGCUGGGCAGAGACAAGGACCAGCUGCGCCCUCCACCCUCUGCGCAGAACCGGAUGGUGUUGAAAACCCAGGUUGUCACCACAGCUGCAUCCGUGCCACUGACAACAGGAAGCACUUGUCUGCAUUACAGGCCCUGUGUGCGGGGUGUGGAGUAGAGCCGGUCUCCUGUUGUUCUUCUCAGCAGCCCCCAGGUUCAGAAAGAGGAGCGCCUUGCUCAAGGCCACACAGCCCGAGUGAACAAGCCUUUGCUGUGAACUGAAUGGAGCCACCAAAGCUCAGGGAGCCUUUCCCAUCCCCAGGCAGCUGAGUCAGGGAUUUCCAGAGGUGGUGGCUGAGGACCCUGAAAUCCAAGUUGGAUUCUCCCUGAGACCGUUACUGCAGAAACUUCUAGCAAGGAAGAAGCUAAGGUCCUCAGAGGCCCCACUGCUGUGGUGGUCGAGCCAGUCGGGCCCUCAUCUCCUCCAUUCUUCCCCUCGGAUCCUAUAUUCCUCCAAGUGCAGUGACCCCUACCACCUGCCACAGAGACCUCAGGGCAGGGGACACGUGUUAAACAUGCAGGUCCUGGGGCACGACCAGCCUUGCUGCCUCCAACUCUGCAUUGACUUACCUCUUCAGGUGAUUCGGACACAAAAUUGCAACAUGAGAACUGCUGUUCUUCCUUCCUGACCCAGUUUCUUCUCAGAUCCAAAGCAUACAGUGGGCUACGCGUGGGGCAAGGGGUUUUCCAUCCCUUGCCUCUUUUGAACCCCUAAAACAUUCCAAAAAUGACUGUUGGGUGUUGGGAGAGAAACUGACAUUCAGGGGGGUUUGCUGUGGAACUGGGGUUUGAACCUGGAAUGUGUCCGCUUUCCCAUGA